Molecule: ribosomal RNA, 1485 nt
Filed under: Salinivibrio sp.
Lineage: Bacteria; Pseudomonadati; Pseudomonadota; Gammaproteobacteria; Vibrionales; Vibrionaceae
Description: bacterial SSU rRNA
Rfam family: Bacterial small subunit ribosomal RNA
Source: RNAcentral
GCUGGCGGCAGGCCUAACACAUGCAAGUCGAGCGGAAACGGCAGUAUUGAAGCUUCGGUGGAUUUACUGGACGUCGAGCGGCGGACGGGUGAGUAACGGCUGGGAACCUGCCCUGACGAGGGGGAUAACCGUUGGAAACGACGGCUAAUACCGCAUAAUGUCUUGAUUCGUUAGAGUCAGGACCAAAGGUGGCCUCUACAUGUAAGCUAUCGCGUUGGGAUGGGCCCAGUUAGGAUUAGCUAGUUGGUAAGGUAAUGGCUUACCAAGGCAACGAUCCUUAGCUGGUUUGAGAGGAUGAUCAGCCACACUGGGACUGAGACACGGCCCAGACUCCUACGGGAGGCAGCAGUGGGGAAUAUUGCACAAUGGGGGAGACCCUGAUGCAGCCAUGCCGCGUGUGUGAAGAAGGCCUUCGGGUUGUAAAGCACUUUCAGCAGUGAGGAAGGUCGUGUACUUAAUACGUGCACGGCUUGACGUUAGCUGCAGAAGAAGCACCGGCUAACUCCGUGCCAGCAGCCGCGGUAAUACGGAGGGUGCGAGCGUUAAUCGGAAUUACUGGGCGUAAAGCGCAUGCAGGCGGUUUGUUAAGUCAGAUGUGAAAGCCCGGGGCUCAACCUCGGAACCGCAUUUGAAACUGGCAGGCUAGAGUCUUGUAGAGGGGGGUAGAAUUUCAGGUGUAGCGGUGAAAUGCGUAGAGAUCUGAAGGAAUACCAGUGGCGAAGGCGGCCCCCUGGACAAAGACUGACGCUCAGAUGCGAAAGCGUGGGUAGCAAACAGGAUUAGAUACCCUGGUAGUCCACGCCGUAAACGCUGUCUACUUGGAGGUUGAGGUUUUAGACUUUGGCUUUCGGCGCUAACGCAUUAAGUAGACCGCCUGGGGAGUACGGCCGCAAGGUUAAAACUCAAAUGAAUUGACGGGGGCCCGCACAAGCGGUGGAGCAUGUGGUUUAAUUCGAUGCAACGCGAAGAACCUUACCUACUCUUGACAUCCAGCGAAGCCUUUAGAGAUAGAGGCGUGCCUUCGGGAGCGCUGAGACAGGUGCUGCAUGGCUGUCGUCAGCUCGUGUUGUGAAAUGUUGGGUUAAGUCCCGCAACGAGCGCAACCCUUAUCCUUGUUUGCCAGCACGUAAUGGUGGGAACUCCAGGGAGACUGCCGGUGAUAAACCGGAGGAAGGUGGGGACGACGUCAAGUCAUCAUGGCCCUUACGAGUAGGGCUACACACGUGCUACAAUGGCAGAUACAGAGGGCAGCGAGACAGCGAUGUUUAGCGAAUCCCUUAAAGUUUGUCGUAGUCCGGAUUGGAGUCUGCAACUCGACUCCAUGAAGUCGGAAUCGCUAGUAAUCGUGGAUCAGAAUGCCACGGUGAAUACGUUCCCGGGCCUUGUACACACCGCCCGUCACACCAUGGGAGUGGGCUGCACCAGAAGUAGAUAGCUUAACCUUCGGGAGGGCGUUUACCACGGUGUGGUUCAUGACUGGGGUGA